UACGGGGGGUGCGAGCGUUGUCCGGAAUCACUGGGCGUAAAGGGCGCGUAGGUGGUUUGAUAAGGGUGUGGUGAAAGUCCGGGGCUCAACCCCGGAUCUGCCGUGCCGACUGUCAAACUCGAGGGCUGUAGAGGCAGACGGAAUUCCGGGUGUAGCGGUGGAAUGCGUAGAGAUCCGGAGGAACACCUGCGGUGUAGACGGCUUUCUGGACCAUUGCUGACGCUGAGACACGAAAGCGUGGGUAGCAAACAGG
This 253-nucleotide ribosomal RNA is filed under the name uncultured bacterium. RNAcentral's name for it is "partial 16S ribosomal RNA". It matches the Rfam family "Bacterial small subunit ribosomal RNA", at positions 524 to 776 of the family's 1533-position model. The record is from RNAcentral.